GGCGCGAAAACUUUACAAUGCUGGCAACAGCGAUAAGGGAACCUCGAGUGCCAGGUUACAAAUCUGGCUGUCGAGAUGCCUAAAAAGCAUUUCAUAGCAAGGGCCGGGCAAGACCGGUGCCAGCCGCCGCGGUAACACCGGCGGCUCGAGUGGUAACCGUUAUUAUUGGGUCUAAAGGGUCUGUCGCCGGCCGGAUAAGUCUCUUGAGAAAUCUGGCAGCUUAACUGUCAGGCUUUCAGGAGAUACUGUCUGGCUCGAGGCCGGGAGAGGUGAGAGGUACUUCAGGGGUAGGGGUGAAAUCGUGUAAGCCUUGAAGGACCACCAGUGGCGAAGGCGUCUCACCAGAACGGACCUGACGGCAAGGGACGAAAGCUAGGGGCACGAACCGGAUUAGAUACCCUAGUAGUCC
This 409-nucleotide ribosomal RNA is filed under the name uncultured bacterium. RNAcentral's name for it is "partial 16S ribosomal RNA". It matches the Rfam family "Archaeal small subunit ribosomal RNA", at positions 338 to 747 of the family's 1478-position model. The record is from RNAcentral.